GCUCGUAGCGCCCUCUCACAAUGGCUUCGGAUCGGCCUCCUCCAGAUGUCUCCACAUAUUCCCCCGUACCAGCCAGUACUUACAGCUUGAAGGAAAAGAUCAAACUGAUAUUCUUGGAGGAGGCACAGUACCUUUACCAAACAUUUCUCACCGUCAACUCUGUGUCCCUCAAUGGCACCCUGUCCAUCAGUAUCAACGGAAAUGAAGAAAUAGGCAUAAUCGAAGUCUCUGAAACCACGGAAAGAAAUUCUUUUGGAGAUGUGUUCCCUAAUCAACAAUAUGGAGGCAGCACUGCCGCCUCGUAUUCUAGUCCUGGUGCACCCUCACAGAAAGAGGGCAGUCAGGUCAGUGGCAUAUCAAAGAUGGCCAAACCCUUCCCAACGCUGCCUCCAAAGCCGAAGGUCUUCGAUAAGAACUGGUUUGACAAAGUUACCUCCCUUGGAAGGCUGGAGCUGAUGAGGAAGUAUGACAGUGUAGAUAAUGACCAGCAGCCUCAACCAAAGAAUCUGACAGUUGGCAGUCCUACCACCGACACAAGAUGGACAGGAUCUGCCACCAGUGGAUCUGCAGGCUCGAGCCAAGACCAUCCAAUCCGAUUGAGCACAGAGACGCCAAUAGAUGACCUGGCAGUAUCCGAGGACAUCAAACUAGAACCGGAACAGGAUCCAGAUGAGGACUGGAUGGUGGAUGAGGACAAUGCUGAGGAGGACAAUGAGGACAAGAAGGACGAAGACUACCUGCCCGAGAUUGGAGAAGAGGCUGCUGUAGCCGAUGAUGCAGAGGGGGAAGAUGGCAAUGAGGAAGAGGCUGACAACGAUGAAGAAGCUGAUAAUGAUGAAGACUGGUUGGAAUCCAAACGGAGAAGUAAGAGGAAGCCUGGCCUCAAGAGGAAGCUUGUCACAAAAUCUGUUGUUCCAAAAAAGAGAGGAAGAAAAACUGCUGCCAAACUGUCACUGAAAAUUAAGUUGAAACAGCUGACAUCUGUCAAGCCAAAGACGAAAGUGAAGAAAGAUUCGAAAAAAGAGCCACAGCAACCAAUACCAGCUGACUUAACAUGCACACUAUGCCAAAAGAAGUUUGAUACAAAGAGAGCAUAUAAGAGACACUCUGAUCGUCACUGGAAGAGUUUUCAGUGUGAUGAGUGUGGGAAACCAUUCUCCUCUAUGGAUUCGCUGACUCAUCAUAAACGAGGCCUCCACAGCUCCACAAAGCCGUAUUCAUGCGAGGAGUGUGGAACGACCUUCAACUUUCACCACAGCUACAAGCUGCAUAUGAGGAAGCAUCGCGGCGAGCGGCCUUACCAGUGUGAUCAGUGCCAGAAGUCCUACCUGACUGCAACCCACUUGAAGGCACACAAGGAGGCCAUCCAUGAGACUGGGACUAUGAGUCAGUUUGUGUGUGAUACCUGCGGGAAGACCUUCACCUACAGGAACAGCCUCAAGACUCACCAGAUGAUCCACACGGGGGAUCGGCCAUACAAGUGCAGCAUCUGUGAGAAGGGCUUCGUCACCAGACAAGCGCUGAAGACUCACGAGGAGUCGUACCAUGUUCAAGAGAGGAACUUCCAGUGUGACAUCUGCUUGAAAUUCUAUAAGUCUGAACAUCUGCGAAAUGUCCACCGGCGACGUCACACGAGUGAUGUGAACAGGUUCAUGUGUGACAUCUGCGGCCGUCAGUUCAUGUUCAAGAGUAACCUCGAGGCACACUCAUUCGUUCAUCAGGAUGAGCGGCCGUUUGUUUGCAACGUCUGUCAGAAGUCAUUCAAGUGCAUGUCCUCCCUCUACACCCACCAGUAUACCCACAAGACAACAACGCCAUUCAAAUGUGGCAUUUGCACAAAGACCUUCAAGACCAAGAACUGUUGCAAGGCUCAUGAGAAACGCCACAAUGCCAAGAAAAACUUCAUGUGUUCAACUUGUGGGGCUUGCUUCCCAGACAAAGGUGGACUCACCAAGCACAUCAGGACCAUUCAUUCACCACAGAAGCAGUUUAUUUGUAAGCUUUGUCGGAAGGUCGGGACAAGAGCUGACAACAUGAGAACACACAUCAAGAGUCACGGCAAAGAACUUGGUGGCCUGGAUGCAUCUGAAUUCAUUGUGGAGAUCUUAACAUCCGGCGAUAAUCAAGAUAUUCAAGAAAUAGCUGAGAAGUCAUUAGAGUUGUCUAGACAGAUGUUAUCCAAAGCUGAAACCGACGUUCAGCUUCAUGCUCCGAAGGUAUCAACGCAAACCCAGGAUGCAUCAGUGUACCCUCAGACAAGCCACAAUCAAACCUCAAUCCACCAAACUCCUCGGGGUGUGAAUAUGCAGCUACCAAUCAACUACCAACCGUCUCCAGUCUCCCCUCCCCAGCCAGUGUACCAAGCACCUGUGUCUCCCAGCGCCCAUGUGUACCAAGCUCCCAUGUCCCCAUCAGCGGGGAUGUAUCAGCCUCCUCUGUCCCCCCGGAACUACCCCUGCCCUGCCUCACCCCACAGGGAGAGCCCAUCGCACCAUAUGUUGAACGCUGGAGUCCCUCAUCAGCCCGACCCGAUGCAGACUGCUCUUGGUCAGUCCCACACCCUGCAGCCUCUGGUCACAGUGUCGUCCCAUCUCCAGCCUCUCCAACCACCAAUCAAUCCCAUGCCCGCUCACCUACACAAUCAUGACCAUGGUCCUCCUGUGUUUCCCCCCCUGCACCCUCAUGGACAGCUUGGAGGAGGUGAAGGUCAUCAUCCAGCAGACAUGUAAAUGUCAAGGUCAUUGUGUAGCCGACUUUUGAUACAAGGUGAAGGUUGAUGUGAAACAAGGUAUUUCAGGUUUGUAAGCCUAAGUAAGGAUGAUGUGUAGCAGACUUGUGAAAAUAGGUCAAGGUUGAAGUGUAGCAGACUUGUGAAACAAGGUCAAGGUUGAAGUGUAGCAGACUUGUGAAACAAGGUCAAGGUUGAAGUGUAGCAGACUUGUGAAACAAGGUCAAGGUCGAAGUGUAGCAGACUUGUGAAACAAGGUCAAGGGCAGACUUUUUUUUAAAAAGGUUAAAGUGUAGCAGACAUUAAACAAGGUCAAAUUCUUAUGAGUAAGUGAGUAUAGUUUUAUGCUGCUAUUAGCAAUAUUCCAGCAUUUUAACGGUGGGGAUACCAGAAAUGGGCUUCACACAUUGUACCCAUAUGGGAAAUUGAACCCAGGCCUUCAGUGUGGCGAGCGAAUGCUUUAACCAUGAGGCUACCCAACCACCUCCUUAUGAAUCAAAAGGAAAGUAGAAGAUAUAAAAGCUUAUAGUGACAAAAUCAGAUCUUUUGCUCGGAAACUAUACCUCUCUGCAUGUAACUGUACAACACCUCCACAGGGGAGCUUUCUAACUGCCAAUGGCUUCUAAAUUCUCGGUACGAGUGAGUAAAGCAUUCAGAACCGCAUAUCUGAUUUCUGUAUCUUGAAAACAAACUUAGAAUGGGGGGUUACAGUUCUCUCAGGGUUCACCUGAUACGACCGUCUGUGGAGGUGUCAUCAGAGGAAUUGGGUGAAAGAAUGGACUUUAUUGAGAUUGGUGGCUAAAAGGUCAAGGUCAGCUUCAACCUCUGGACUACAUACAUGCAUUUGAUGCUGAUUCUUUGUGUUGUGAAGGUGCCCAGCCGGGAUCCUGUCAGUAUUGUGGGAGUGCAAGCGUGAGAGGGUUUAUUGUACCCUGCUAUUUUAUGACAGGUCCCUUUGUCUUCCCUCAGAGUUGGAUGUUUCUAUCAUUAAUGUUGCUUGGGACAUUUUUCUGCAAUUUUCCGACAUCACCUGUUAAUUUGAAUUACCAUAUUUACUUAUUAACCGUCCUUGUGGCUUAAAAACUUGACAAAGACGCUGCGCUUACAAAAAACAUACACAGUGUCUUUUCAGAUAAGCAAGAGUUAAUUAAACUAAAACUUUUCCAAAAGUGAUUACUGGACAAAUCUAUACCCCUCCUGCACUGCAGUUUUCUGUAACAGAAUCUGUAAUGUACUCAAGAAAAUAUGGACUAAAAAAAUAAAUAAAAUCGUUGUAGGGGGCACUUUUUUAGAUUACAGAUUGGUCUAAAAGUUUGUCAGGGGAAGUCCAUGGGAGCAGUGGGGUUAAUACAGUGAAUAUGGUACAUCCUUUUGAUAUACUAUGUGAACUAUAUUUGUCCUGAUGUUUGUUUGUUUACUUAGUCAUGUUUGUUAUCACCUGUAGGAGUGUAUAGCAUCAGAUACUGCAAUCUGCAGUAAGUUACAGCCACCCAAGAUCACAAGGGUUGUCACGAUGCUCCCAUAAAUUAUUUUUCAGUGAAUUUCUCAAAGAAAAUUCAUUAAUCAAUACAAAUGAUGUAAAACAUUGUUUUUGUUCAGGUGUGUGUAUUGUCUGCUUAGCAGCUUGUUACCAUGGUUACAAUGUUAAGUCUAUUAUAUAUUUAUAUAUACUUUAUGGAAUUAACAUGGCACAGUGUUAUAUUGUACAAACAUUAAUCUAUUUGAAGAGUGUGAGAGACCAAUAUCAUUAAAAUCAGAUCUUAGUUCUCGCUACCGCUAAACAAAGAUCUGAGGACAUCCCAUUACGGGUC
This 4539-nucleotide unclassified non-coding RNA is filed under the name Haliotis rufescens (red abalone). Its description in RNAcentral is "zinc finger protein 583-like, transcript variant X1". Lineage: Eukaryota; Metazoa; Mollusca; Gastropoda; Lepetellida; Haliotidae. The record is from RNAcentral.